RNAcentral lists this ribosomal RNA (457 nucleotides) under uncultured organism. RNAcentral's name for it is "partial 16S ribosomal RNA". It matches the Rfam family "Bacterial small subunit ribosomal RNA", at positions 332 to 797 of the family's 1533-position model. The record is from RNAcentral.
UACACUCCUACGGGAGGCAGCAGUGGGGAAUAUUGCACAAUGGGCGCAAGCCUGAUGCAGCGACGCCGCGUGGGGGAUGAAGGCCUUCGGGUUGUAAACUCCUUUCGCUAGGGACGAAGCUUUUUUGUGACGGUACCUAGAUAAGAAGCACCGGCUAACUACGUGCCAGCAGCCGCGGUAAUACGUAGGGUGCGAGCGUUGUCCGGAAUUACUGGGCGUAAAGGGCUCGUAGGUGGUUUGUCGCGUCGUCUGUGAAAUUCUGGGGCUUAACUCCGGGCGUGCAGGCGAUACGGGCAUAACUUGAGUGCUGUAGGGGUAACUGGAAUUCCUGGUGUAGCGGUGAAAUGCGCAGAUAUCAGGAGGAACACCGAUGGCGAAGGCAGGUUACUGGGCAGUUACUGACGCUGAGGAGCGAAAGCAUGGGUAGCGAACAGGAUUAGAAACCCUGGUAGUCCCA